RNAcentral lists this long non-coding RNA (782 nucleotides) under Strigops habroptila (Kakapo). RNAcentral describes it as "lncRNA (ENSSHBG00005007230.1)". The record is from RNAcentral. Lineage: Eukaryota; Metazoa; Chordata; Aves; Psittaciformes; Psittacidae.
UUUUUUUUUUUUUUUUUUUUUUUGGUGGGGAGGGGGUUGUUAUGUUUGCGAUCUCUGUCUUGGUACCUAAGGAAGGAGGAAGAAGAGGAGGAGGAGGGUGUGUUAUUGAAUGGUGGCUAAAGCCUCCUCGGGACGGCGCUGAGGUGAAACACGCUGAACCCGAGUGAUGUAGCUCCGCUCCCGGUCGGACCCAGUGCCCUCAGCAGCCGACGGGAGACCCCGGCCGCCGGCUCCAGGUUAUACACACGAGGUGAACAGAAUGGCCCUGAUCCUGCCAGUCCCUUUUUGAGUACCUUUUUAAUGCUGAAAUGGGCAUACUAAUUGUGAACUGUGUGGUAAGAAGCUCCUUCUAAAAUAUUCACUAACUUAUUUACUGGAAUUUAACAGGCUCUGCUCUUCAAAGCUUUCCUUGCCUUUAAUCACGUGAACAAACCUUUCAAGUCAUGUUGUCAGCUCGAGAUCUGGCAGAGGAACAGCAGUGUGGAAGCAGCCCCUGCCAUUAGCCAAGAGGAAACACUAAGAAGUCAGCAUUAUUUAACAGAAAUGAACAAAUGGAAAGGUAUUUAUUUGCCAAACUGCAAGAGGAUGUCAGAAACGAUCACUGCUGGGAAUACUGAACACCAUUGGACCUAGUGCUGGUGCCUGCUGGAUACCAUUAGAAACAAUUCAAUAUUAAUUUUCUUUGUAAUGUACCUUUUGAUGAUCUGCUGGCCAGCUCUUAAUUGAAAUUGUGAACAUUGAUGCUAUGUAGUAAUUUUUUUUCUUAAUAAAAGUAUUUGAAA